This 519-nucleotide ribosomal RNA is filed under the name uncultured bacterium. RNAcentral's name for it is "bacterial SSU rRNA". It matches the Rfam family "Bacterial small subunit ribosomal RNA", at positions 20 to 518 of the family's 1533-position model. The record is from RNAcentral.
UGGCUCAGAACGAACGCUGGCGGCGUGCUUAACACAUGCAAGUCGAACGCGAAAGGGACUUCGGUCCUGAGUAAAGUGGCGCACGGGUGAGUAACGCGUAGAUAACCUGUCUUCGUGUCUGGAAUAAUACGCCGAAAGGGGUACUAAUACCGGAUAUUCUUGCUUUUCAUAAGUUAUGCAAGCAAAGGUGGCCUCUGCAUAUGCUACUGCAUGAAGAGGGGUCUGCGUACCAUUAGCUAGUAGGUGGGGUAAUGGCCUACCUAGGCGACGAUGGUUAGCGGGUCUGAGAGGAUGAUCCGCCACACUGGCACUGGAACACGGGCCAGACUCCUACGGGAGGCAGCAGUGAGGAAUAUUGCGCAAUGGGGGAAACCCUGACGCAGCGACGCCGCGUGAGUGAAGGAAGGCCUUCGGGUCGUAAAGCUCUGUCAAGAGGAAAGAAGUGUACAAUGGCUAAUACCUGUUGUAUUUGACGGUACCUCUAAAGGAAGCACCGGCUAACUCCGUGCCAGCAGCGGC